GUGGAUAUACAUUGGAACAAUCAGGAAUCAUCAAAGUGUUUUUCACAGUGGCUGUGCCAUUUGACAUUCCCACCAUCAGUGUACAAGGGUAUGGUAGCUUAUUUUUAUGACUUACGUAGGUAUCAGACAGGAUUUGGUGAGGAACACAGAAGCCACUGUAUGUUCUGCACAUAAAGGGUUUAAAAGUCAAGCAGGAGCUUAUACACAAGUUAGAAGACUUAGGAGACUGCAGAUGAGAGAAGCUGCUGCCAGCAUUUGGGGAAUUGUCCCUGAAAGUCAAAGGAGUUACCCUGAAAUCUCAGCCUGCAGCCCCAAAGCAGCUGGUUUUUAAAAGCUUGCCUAGAAUUCUUGAGAUUCCCGAGGAGCCCCCAACACCAACCGUCUCAGCCUGCAAUGAUGAGGGGCUUGCCAGGAAUCCGCAGGGAAUCUCUCAUCUGUCCACACAUCCAGCUGCAACCAUCUCUGAAGACUGAUGGCUUCCACUUCCUUUCAGCCUUCCAAAUAUCAUACAAGUUCCUCUCAUUAAAAAAAAGCAAACAUAUACAGAAGGGGGUCUUGGGAAGCACAGUUCCCAUUCUUAGAAGGGAGAGGUAGUGGUGCCUGCUGACAACAGCACACAUUAUACUCUUCUUUAUUCUAGAAGGCAUUCCAGGGAUCUUAUAACGAUGCAUCAAAUUUGACCAACAGAAAUUUGACAGCAUACAUUAUACUCUUCUUUAUUCCAGAAAGCAUUCCCAGACAGCUUAUUACGAUGCAUAACAUUUGACUAACAUAAAUUCAAAGUCGAGCAAAUGAAGGCAAAAAGGCAGAAGGGAAGAGUGAAAAUGGACCCAGAAAUAGGGCGAAGCAUGUCUGCCACACUCGUCUACCUGCUGACCAUGGGUGAACCUCAUGGUGAGCUGUUGACCACAGGAUUCACCACAGAAUUCACUCUCCAGAAGACAAAAACUGCUGUGGAGAUUGGAAAAUUUAUCUUAAAAUAUUAAGGUCAGACAAGAACCUCUGUCAAGGAACAGGAAGUCGUGCCCUGAGGAGACAAGUAGAGGCUGUAGCCAUGGGUGGCUUUGGGGUAGUAGCUGUUGGCUGUGCCUAGAAGGACAUCAUGAAAGUUGUAAGUGCUGCUAAUUGACGUCCCCCAAUUCAUAUGCGGAAGUCCUGGCCCCUAGUACCUCAAGAUGUGCUUGGUUUUGGAGCUGGGGUCUUUAAAGAGGUAAUUCAGUUAAAAUGAGGUUGUUAUUAUGGGCCCCAAUCCAAUAUGACUGUUGUUUUUAUAAGAAGAGCUGAUUAGGACACAGACAUGUAGAGGAAAGACCAUGGGAAGAUUCAGGGAGAAGGUGGCCAUCUUCCAACCAAGGAGAGAUGGGCCUGAAGAGCCCAGCCCUGCUGACACCUCGAUCUUGGACUUCCCGGCCUUCAGAACUGUGAGGAAAUAAAUUUCUGUUGUUUAAGCCACCCAGCCUGUAGUACUAUGUCAUGGCAGCCCUAGCAAACUAAUGUCCCCCCCACAUCUAAAAUUGGCAUCAUUUAUGGAGAUGGAGUUGAGCCCAGAUUUCUCUUGGGGGAACAUUGUCUUUGGUUUCUAAUUUGACAAAUGUUUACUGAGUGUAGA
This 1609-nucleotide long non-coding RNA is filed under the name Homo sapiens (human). RNAcentral describes it as "HSALNT0134866". Lineage: Eukaryota; Metazoa; Chordata; Mammalia; Primates; Hominidae. The record is from RNAcentral.